Molecule: ribosomal RNA, 734 nt
Filed under: uncultured Gammaproteobacteria bacterium
Lineage: Bacteria; Pseudomonadati; Pseudomonadota; Gammaproteobacteria
Description: bacterial SSU rRNA
Rfam family: Bacterial small subunit ribosomal RNA
Source: RNAcentral
AGAGUUUGAUCAUGGCUCAGAUUGAACGCUGGCGGCAGGCCUAACACAUGCAAGUCGAGCGGAUGAAGGGAGCUUGCUCCUGGAUUCAGCGGCGGACGGGUGAGUAAUGCCUAGGAAUCUGCCUGGUAGUGGGGGAUAACGUCCGGAAACGGGCGCUAAUACCGCAUACGUCCUGAGGGAGAAAGUGGGGGAUCUUCGGGCCUCACGCUAUCAGAUGAGCCUAGGUCGGAUUAGCUAGUUGGUGGGGUAAAGGCCUACCAAGGCGACGAUCCGUAACUGGUCUGAGAGGAUGAUCAGUCACACUGGAACUGAGACACGGUCCAGACUCCUACGGGAGGCAGCAGUGGGGAAUAUUGGACAAUGGGCGAAAGCCUGAUCCAGCCAUGCCGCGUGUGUGAGGAAGGUCUUCGGAUUGUAAAGCACUUUAGUUGGGAGGAAGGGCAGUAAGUUAAUACUUGCUGUUUUGACGUUACCAACAGAAUAAGCACCGGCUAACUUCGUGCCAGCAGCCGCGGUAAUACGAAAGGGUGCAAGCGGUUAUCGGAAUUACUGGGCGUAAAGCGCGCGUAAGUGGUUCAGCAAGUGGGAUGUGAAAUCCCGGGCUCAACCUGGGAACUGCAUCCAAAACUACUGAGCUAGAGUACGGUAGAGGUGGGUGGAAUUUUCUGUGGAGCGGUGAAUUGCGUAGAUUUAGGAAAGGACCACAGUGGCCGAAGGGAACACCUGGACUGAAC